AUCCUGGCUCAGAUUGAACGCUGGCGGCAUGCCUUACACAUGCAAGUCGAACGGCAGCACGGACUUCGGUCUGGUGGCGAGUGGCGAACGGGUGAGUAAUGUAUCGGAACGUACCUUUCAGUGGGGGAUAACGUAGCGAAAGUUACGCUAAUACCGCAUAUUCUGUGAGCAGGAAAGCAGGGGAUCGCAAGACCUUGCGCUGAUUGAGCGGCCGAUAUCAGAUUAGCUAGUUGGUGAGGUAAAGGCUCACCAAGGCGACGAUCUGUAGCGGGGUCUGAGAGGAUGAUCCGCCACACUGGAACUGAGACACGGUCCAGACUCCUACGGGAGGCAGCAGUGGGGAAUUUUGGACAAUGGGGGCAACCCUGAUCCAGCCAUGCCGCGUGAGUGAAGAAGGCCUUCGGGUUGUAAAGCUCUUUCGGCCGGGAAGAAAUCGCAUGGGCUAAUACCCUGUGCGGAUGACGGUACCGGCAUAAGAAGCACCGGCUAACUACGUG
This 497-nucleotide ribosomal RNA is filed under the name uncultured bacterium. RNAcentral's name for it is "bacterial SSU rRNA". It matches the Rfam family "Bacterial small subunit ribosomal RNA", at positions 16 to 507 of the family's 1533-position model. The record is from RNAcentral.